This 429-nucleotide ribosomal RNA is filed under the name Bacteroidota bacterium. RNAcentral describes it as "Bacteroidetes bacterium partial 16S ribosomal RNA". It matches the Rfam family "Bacterial small subunit ribosomal RNA", at positions 355 to 776 of the family's 1533-position model. Lineage: Bacteria; Pseudomonadati; Bacteroidota. The record is from RNAcentral.
UGGGGAAUCUUCCGCAAUGGACGAAAGUCUGACGGAGCAACGCCGCGUGAGUGAUGACGGUCUUCGGAUUGUAAAGCUCUGUUAAUCGGGACGAAUGGUUUGUGUGCAAAUAGUACAUAGACAUGACGGUACCGGAAUAGAAAGCCACGGCUAACUACGUGCCAGCAGCCGCGGUAAUACGUAGGUCCCGAGCGUUGUCCGGAUUUAUUGGGCGUAAAGCGAGCGCAGGCGGUUAGAUAAGUCUGAAGUUAAAGGCAGUGGCUCAACCAUUGUAGGCUUUGGAAACUGUUUAACUUGAGUGCAGAAGGGGAGAGUGGAAUUCCAUGUGUAGCGGUGAAAUGCGUAGAUAUAUGGAGGAACACCAGUGGCGAAGGCGACUCUCUGGUCUGUAACUGACGCUGAGGCUCGAAAGCGUGGGGAGCGAACAGG